Molecule: transfer RNA, 72 nt
Filed under: Synura synuroidea
Lineage: Eukaryota; Synurophyceae; Synurales; Mallomonadaceae
Description: tRNA-Pro
Rfam family: tRNA
About the family: Transfer RNA (tRNA) molecules are approximately 80 nucleotides in length. Their secondary structure includes four short double-helical elements and three loops (D, anti-codon, and T loops).
Source: RNAcentral
CGGAAUGUGGCGUAGUGGAAGCGUAUCUAUUUUGGGAAUAGAAGGUCAUAUGUUCAAAUCAUAUCAUUCCGA